GCAACCGGGCUGAGUCCGUCCGUCUAGCGCAGAGACUGCCAACGACGCGGAUCCUCCUGNCCACGGCGACCCACGGGGCUUACGCCCCACGACCCAUGACCUCGGAUCAGGCGGGGAUACCCGCUGAACUUAAGCAUAUCAAUAAGCGGAGGACAAGAAACCAACAGGGAUUGCCCCAGUAACGGCGAGUGAAGCGGCAAGAGCUCAGAUUUGAAAUCUGUCCCCCUUGGGGAUCGACGUGUAGUCUGCAGAGGAUGCUUCGAGGGGUCGCCGGACCCAAGUCCCUUGGAACAGGGCGCCACAGAGGGUGAGAGCCCCGUCUGGGUCCGGCUGUCCGUUCGUGUGAUGCUCCUUCGACGAGUCGAGUUGUUUGGGAAUGCAGCUCCAAGCGGGUGGUAAAUCUCAUCUAAAGCUAAAUACCGGCCAGAGACCGAUAGCGCACAAGUAGAGUGAUCGAAAGAUGAAAAGCACUUUGGAAAGAGAGUCAAACAGCACGUGAAAUCGUUGGGAGGGAAACGCUCGCGACCAGACCUGGCCGCGGCCGAUCGGCUGACGUCCUCGUCGGUCCCCUCGGUCGUGGCCGGGCCAGCAUCGGCCUGAGGGACGGGAAGAAGGCGUCGGGAACGUGGCUCCCUCGGGAGCGUUACAGCCCGACGCGUCACGCCGCCACCUCGGGCCGAGGACCGCGCUUCGGCAAGGAUGCUGGCGUAAUGGUCGUCAGCGACC
Molecule: ribosomal RNA, 726 nt
Filed under: uncultured fungus
Lineage: Eukaryota; Fungi
Description: eukaryotic LSU rRNA
Rfam family: Eukaryotic large subunit ribosomal RNA (bases 97-726)
Source: RNAcentral